GCCAGGCAUGGUGGCGUGUGCCUGUAGUCCCAGCUACUCAGGAGGCUGAGGCAGGAGAAUCACUUGAACCCAGGAGGCAGAGGUUGCAGUGAGCCAAGAUUGCACCAUUACACUCCUGCCUGGGUGACAGGGUGAGACUCUGUCUCAA
RNAcentral lists this non-coding RNA (148 nucleotides) under Theropithecus gelada (gelada). The record is from Rfam by way of RNAcentral. Lineage: Eukaryota; Metazoa; Chordata; Mammalia; Primates; Cercopithecidae. RNAcentral also lists the same sequence under 1 other name.